AUUAAACGCUGGCGGCAUGCCUUACACAUGCAAGUCGAACGGCAGCACGGGGGCAACCCUGGUGGCGAGUGGCGGACGGGUGAGUAAAGCAUCGGAACGUAUCCUGGAGUGGGGGGAUAACGUAGCGAAAGUUACGCUAAUACCGCAUAUUCUGUGAGCAGGAAAGCAGGGGAUCGCAAGACCUUGCGCUCUGGGAGCGGCCGAUGUCGGAUUAGCUAGUUGGUGGGGUAAAGCCUACCAAGGCGACGAUCCGUAGCGGGUCUGAGAGGAUGAUCCGCCACACUGGGACUGAGACACGGCCCAGACUCCUACGGGAGGCAGCAGUGGGGAAUUCUGGACAAUGGGCGGAAGCCUGAUCCAGCCAUGCCGCGUGAGUGAAGAAGG
Molecule: ribosomal RNA, 384 nt
Filed under: uncultured bacterium
Lineage: Bacteria
Description: bacterial SSU rRNA
Rfam family: Bacterial small subunit ribosomal RNA
Source: RNAcentral